This 67-nucleotide microRNA precursor is filed under the name Bombyx mori (domestic silkworm). Its description in RNAcentral is "mir-2774 microRNA precursor family". It matches the Rfam family "mir-2774 microRNA precursor family". Lineage: Eukaryota; Metazoa; Arthropoda; Insecta; Lepidoptera; Bombycidae. The record is from Rfam by way of RNAcentral.
ACAACAUUUGGGCCGUCGGUAUAUCGAGCAAUAUCAUUCGCUCGGUGAAAGAUCUUCCAUUCGUCGU